GUGCUUGCUUCAGCAGCACAUAUACUAAAAUUGGAAGAAUACAGAGGACAUUAGCAUGGCCCCUGCACAAGGAUAACAUGCACAUUCAUGAAGUGUUCCAUAGUUUU
Molecule: small nuclear RNA, 107 nt
Filed under: Lynx canadensis (Canada lynx)
Lineage: Eukaryota; Metazoa; Chordata; Mammalia; Carnivora; Felidae
Also listed under: 1 other name
Source: RNAcentral